GGUCUCAUAGUUCAGUGGUAGAAUAUACGAUUCCAACUGGUUAACAGUGUCAUCGUGCGGUCGUCCGUUCAAUCCGGGCUGAGAUCA
Molecule: non-coding RNA, 87 nt
Organism: Filobasidium floriforme
Lineage: Eukaryota; Fungi; Basidiomycota; Tremellomycetes; Filobasidiales; Filobasidiaceae
Source: the annotation of a RefSeq genome assembly